Molecule: ribosomal RNA, 254 nt
Filed under: uncultured bacterium
Lineage: Bacteria
Description: partial 16S ribosomal RNA
Rfam family: Bacterial small subunit ribosomal RNA
Source: RNAcentral
UACGGAGGGUGCGAGCGUUGUCCGGAAUCAUUGGGCGUAAAGGGCGCGUAGGUGGCCCGGUCAGUUCGUGGUGAAAGCGCGGGGCUCAACCCUGCGUCGGCCAUGAAUACUGCCGCGGCUGGAGCACUGUAGAGGCAGGCGGAAUUCCGGGGUGUAGCGGUGGAAUGCGUAGAGAUCCGGAAGAACACCGGUGGCGAAGGCGGCCUGCUGGGCAGUGCUGACACUUGAGGCGCGACAGCGUGGGGAGCAACAGG